RNAcentral lists this ribosomal RNA (325 nucleotides) under uncultured eukaryote. RNAcentral's name for it is "partial 18S ribosomal RNA". It matches the Rfam family "Eukaryotic small subunit ribosomal RNA", at positions 1470 to 1796 of the family's 1831-position model. The record is from RNAcentral.
CCCUUAGAUGUUCUGGGCCGCACGCGCGCUACACUGAUGCAUUCAACGAGCCUAUCCUUGACCGACAGGUCCGGGUAAUCUUUGAAUCUGCAUCGUGACGGGGAUAGAUUAUUGCAAUUAUUAAUCUUCAACGAGGAAUGCCUAGUAGGCGCAAGUCAUCAGCUUGCGUCGAUUACGUCCCUGCCCUUUGUACACACCGCCCGUCGCUCCUACCGAUUGGAUGUUUAAGCGAGGUUCUCGAACUGCUAGCGACUUAGCUUCGGUGAGGUCGCAGUGUGGGAAGUGAACCUAGCUUUGGUGUCUAGAGGAAGUAAAAGUCGUAACA